GACAGAGGUGCCAAGCGUUAGGCGGAAUCACUGGGCUUAAAGCGUGUGUAGGCGGGUCGUUAAGUACCUUGUGAAAUCCCACGGCUCAACCGUGGAACUGCUCGGUAUACUGGCGAUCUUGAGCCACUUAGGGGCUACCGGAACAAAUGGUGGAGCGGUGAAAUGCGUAGAUAUCAGGAGGAACACCGAUGGCGAAGGCAGGUCUCUGGGCCACUACUGACGCUGAGAAGCGAAAGCAUGGGGAGCGAACAGG
Molecule: ribosomal RNA, 253 nt
Filed under: uncultured bacterium
Lineage: Bacteria
Description: partial 16S ribosomal RNA
Rfam family: Bacterial small subunit ribosomal RNA
Source: RNAcentral